Molecule: ribosomal RNA, 500 nt
Filed under: uncultured bacterium
Lineage: Bacteria
Description: partial 16S ribosomal RNA
Rfam family: Bacterial small subunit ribosomal RNA
Source: RNAcentral
AUUGAACGCUGGCGGAAUGCUUUACACAUGCAAGUCGAACGGCAGCACGGACUUCGGUCUGGUGGCGAGUGGCGAACGGGUGAGUAAUGUAUCGGAACGUGCCCAGUCGUGGGGGAUAACGUAGUGAAAAUUACGCUAAUACCGCAUACGAUCUAUGGAUGAAAGCGGGGGAUCGCAAGACCUCGCGCGAUUGGAGCGGCCGAUAUCAGAUUAGGUAGUUGGUGGGGUAAAGGCCUACCAAGCCAACGAUCUGUAGCUGGUCUGAGAGGACGACCAGCCACACUGGAACUGAGACACGGUCCAGACUCCUACGGGAGGCAGCAGUGGGGAAUUUUGGACAAUGGGCGAAAGCCUGAUCCAGCCAUCCCGCGUGCAGGAUGAAGGCCCUCGGGUUGUAAACUGCUUUUGUACAGGACGAAAAGGUUUCUACUAAUACUAGGAGCUCAUGACGGUACUGUAAGAAUAAGCACCGGCUAACUACGUGCCAGCAGCCGCCGUAG